Long non-coding RNA from Juglans regia (Persian walnut), 1232 nucleotides. RefSeq lists it as uncharacterized. The record is from RefSeq and is a predicted model, not a curated record. The transcript is spliced from 4 exons. NCBI's taxonomy places the organism in Eukaryota, Viridiplantae, Streptophyta, Magnoliopsida, Fagales, Juglandaceae.
ACGGAGCAAGUCUUUGAAACAAGCAAAGAAUUUUCGGGAAGUUGGCUAUCCCUUCCUCAUUUUCCUUGAUCUCUGUGCUCUCUGGGAGUCCAGUCGAAUCUUUGGGUUAGGGUUUCGCAUAGAAUUUACAAUCAGCGAAGCUGGAAAUGCACGGUGGAGAACAACUUAAUGGCCACCAAGAGGUCCACUACCACCACCAUAAUCACUAAUUCGAUCACCGCAACCACCGGCCAUCACCGGCAUUUUAACGAAUCUUACUACCAUCCCAGUCACCAUGACCAGUACCACCACAAUUACCAGCCCGACUUGACAUCACUGCCAGCACCCUGUUCACAGUGACAACCACCAUCGCGACGCGAUCUCUGAACCAAACGAUUCGUUUGUACCAGCAGGAGUUCCGUCGAAUAGUGGUGCCGGAGGUGGUGGUAGUGGAGGAUAUGGCCCUUGGUCCUGGUUCUGGCUUGAGUAGCUUCUCUAGAUGUGUGUAACUUUCUGUUUCGUGGGAAGUUCUUUUCAAAUGAUGCAAUUGUGGAUGAAGCUGAAGGGGCAAUUAGAGCUUUAAACCAUCAAUAUACUUUUGUUGGGAUCUGGAUCAUGUGCAACUGCACUCAGAGUCUAGUCCUGUUAUUGGUCCAACAAGCAGUAAAGAGAUUCCAGUUGGUUGUAGUGGAAACUGGGCAUUUGGCUGGAUUUGUGUUGAACAGCUUUAAGCAAUAUGUGAUUGUCUAAUUGGUCUUGGUGGUAUGCUCCCUCAAACCUUGGGUGCAAACAAUUUCUAGAGGCCGCGUUUCAUUAGUGAAAAGUUUAUGAUUUACUUGAUCCGCGUAAUGGGACGUGUUACACAGGGGCCAGGGGUUUAACCGGGCAAAAGACAUCUUGCGUUUCCAGUCUCCAGGAUUCCUUCAUAAAAAAUAAUGUCUGUUGGGUAUGCAUCUGUCAUGUUUAGGUUUCAUGUAGAACAUUCUGGCUGAUUUAAUGAUCAAAUAUCCAGACGCUGGUUUUGCUGAUCAAACUUGUGUCCACGUGCUAGAACUAUACUGUAAAUGAGUAGUGAUAGAGACAACUUUUAUUUAUUUAUUUUAAUUGAUGGUUAUUUUUGUAAAAUAAUGAUACUAUGCUUACAACCCUCCAUUUAAAAUAGUGUUACAAAAUAGUUUAAAAAUAGUAUUUGUCUUUGUCACUUUUCAUUGUAACUGAUGGAAUAAUAAUAGAAAAAUGAUAUUUGCAGUCAA